UCAUGCAAGUCGAGCGAGCGGAACCAACAGAUUUACUUCGGUAAUGACGUUGGGAAAGCGAGCGGCGGAUGGGUGAGUAACACGUGGGGAACCUGCCCCUAAGUCUGGGAUACCAUUUGGAAACAGGUGCUAAUACCGGAUAAUAAAGCAGAUCGCAUGAUCAGCUUUUGAAAGGCGGCGUAAGCUGUCGCUAAGGGAUGGCCCCGCGGUGCAUUAGCUAGUUGGUAGGGUAACGGCCUACCAAGGCAAUGAUGCAUAGCCGAGUUGAGAGACUGAUCGGCCACAAUGGAACUGAGACACGGUCCAUACUCCUACGGGAGGCAGCAGUAGGGAAUCUUCCACAAUGGGCGCAAGCCUGAUGGAGCAACACCGCGUGAGUGAAGAAGGGUUUCGGCUCGUAAAACUCUGUUGUUGAAGAAGAACGUGCAUGAGAGUAACUGUUCAUGCAGUGACGGUAUUCAACCAGAAAGUCACGGCUAACUAC
RNAcentral lists this ribosomal RNA (484 nucleotides) under uncultured bacterium. RNAcentral describes it as "bacterial SSU rRNA". It matches the Rfam family "Bacterial small subunit ribosomal RNA", at positions 53 to 504 of the family's 1533-position model. The record is from RNAcentral.